GUUGUCUUAUUGUGCUGGGCACAAAAUUGUCUUGAAAAUAAUUUGUUAAUGUUCGAUUCAUUAGUAGGACU
RNAcentral lists this transfer RNA (71 nucleotides) under Thylacodes squamigerus. RNAcentral's name for it is "tRNA-Ser". The record is from RNAcentral. Lineage: Eukaryota; Metazoa; Mollusca; Gastropoda; Littorinimorpha; Vermetidae.